UGGGGAAUAUUGCACAAUGGGCGCAAGCCUGAUGCAGCCAUGCCGCGUGUGUGAAGAAGGCCUUCGGGUUGUAAAGCACUUUCAGCGGGGAGGAAGGCGAUAAGGUUAAUAACCUUGUCGAUUGACGUUACCCGCAGAAGAAGCACCGGCUAACUACGUGCCAGCAGCCGCGGUAAUACGUAGGUCCCGAGCGUUGUCCGGAUUUAUUGGGCGUAAAGCGAGCGCAGGCGGUUAGAUAAGUCUGAAGUUAAAGGCUGUGGCUUAACCAUAGUACGCUUUGGAAACUGUUUAACUUGAGUGCAAGAGGGGAGAGUGGAAUUCCAUGUGUAGCGGUGAAAUGCGUAGAUAUAUGGAGGAACACCGGUGGCGAAAGCGGCUCUCUGGCUUGUAACUGACGCUGAGGCUCGAAAGCGUGGGGAGCAAACAGGAUUAGAUACCCUGGUAGUCCACGCCGUAAACGAUGAGUGCUAGGUGUUAGACCCUUUCCGGGGUUUAGUGCCGCAGCUAACGCAUUAAGCACUCCGCCUGGGGAGUACGACCGCAAGGUUG
Molecule: ribosomal RNA, 549 nt
Filed under: uncultured bacterium
Lineage: Bacteria
Description: bacterial SSU rRNA
Rfam family: Bacterial small subunit ribosomal RNA
Source: RNAcentral